Molecule: transfer RNA, 67 nt
Filed under: Marmota monax (woodchuck)
Lineage: Eukaryota; Metazoa; Chordata; Mammalia; Rodentia; Sciuridae
Rfam family: tRNA
About the family: Transfer RNA (tRNA) molecules are approximately 80 nucleotides in length.
Source: Rfam by way of RNAcentral
GGUUGUGGCUCAGUGGUAGAGCGCUUGCCUAGCACAUAUGAGGCCCUGGGUUCAAACCUUAGAACCA